GGGAUGAACGCUGGCGGCGUGCCUAACACAUGCAAGUCACGGGGGCCCAGCAAUGGGCAACCGGCGAACGGGUGCGUAACACGUGAGCAACCUACCGAAAUGAGGGGGAUAGCCGGCCCAACGGCCGGGUAAUACCGCAUACGCUCGAGACCAGGCAUUUGGACUCGAGGAAACCUCCGGGGCGUUUCGAGGGGCUCGCGGCCUAUCAGCUAGUUGGUGAGGUAACGGCUCACCAAGGCGACGACGGGUAGCUGGUCUGAGAGGAUGGCCAGCCACAUUGGGACUGAGAUACGGCCCAGACUCCUACGGGAGGCAGCAGUGGGGAAUCUUGCGCAAUGGCCUAACGGCUGACGCAGCGACGCCGCGUGAGGGAUGACGCUCUUCGGAGUGUAAACCUCUUUUGCCUGAGACGAAUUGUCAGCUUUAGCUGAUUUGACUGUAUCGGGUGAAUAAGCACCGGCUAACUCCGCGCCAGCAGCCGCGGUAA
Molecule: ribosomal RNA, 487 nt
Filed under: uncultured soil bacterium
Lineage: Bacteria
Description: bacterial SSU rRNA
Rfam family: Bacterial small subunit ribosomal RNA
Source: RNAcentral